ACAAACAAUCAAGGCAUGUGUGUAGCUCUUGUUUUGACAUGCAGCUGGCUGAUCGGGACUGAUUUGGCACCUUCAAUAGCAUUGCGUACACCAUGGACAAUUCCAGCCUCUAAAAAGCCUGGGUUGAAGCAGCUUUUCCCAUGUCAUGAAGAAGAGAAUCACAGGAUCACAGGAUGAUUGAGGAAUCUCUACAGAUUGUCUAGUUCAACUCCCCCCGCUCAAGCCUUUCCAUGACUUGUCUCAAUAGAUUGACCAGGGCAGCUACAGAGACCAUACUAUUGGGUUUCUAUGGAUCCUGAAAACUCCUGAAUUCUGAGCCUGAGCCCUGGCUGUGAGGUUUCUGAAGUUUAUUCCAAAUGCUGCAGAGUGUAUAUGUAUAGUUCAGGAUUGCCUAGUGAUACACGUAUGCACACAGUCCUCUAAACACAGUCAUCUGGGAGUAUCUAUGUAUAGACAGAUAUUUCUAGAUAGAAAUAUAGACACAUAUAUUUAUAUUUCUGGCACAGAUAUAUGUAAAUAUGCAUAUUUAGAAAUUCAAUGGAUUACAGUGACUGUACUACUAAAAUAUAUUGAAGAUCUAAAUGGGAAGUCAUCACUGAAACAAGAGAAAGGCAGUACAUAAAUCAUCCCUUAAAGCAUGUUAGAGGAGUAUGCCAUCUCCAACUCUGUACUUAAAAAAAAUUCCAACCUUUAAACUAUCCUUUUCUUGUAGAUCAAGAUAUGAUAAAAUGACAUCUGUUUUGUGCAUCAUAACUCUUGCCCAAUCAGCAUUUACAGUUAUAGAGAAUGUAUAUAUUUAUCAAAUCCUGGGCAGAACGUGCAAAAUUCUUUUCACAUUCAAUAGCAUGGUGUCUUUGACUUUUUGUUUUCAACAAUCAUUCUGUACAAGCUGAGCAUGAAGGACUUAGGCUAUGAUUCAACUCCCCUUCAUUUUAUGUUUGCAGUGUAUAGUGGAGAAUCAAACUGAAUGAUUCUACAUACUAAAUCAUUCAGUAUUUCACUCUGUGGCACUCUGAUGGCCUAAAGAAAAUAUGCGUGUUUCUUGGGACUCACUUUAUUUGAAAGUAAAUAAUACUUCCUAAAGGAAGACAUAUUUAUGACUAGAAAAAGAAGACAGUGGC
Molecule: long non-coding RNA, 1121 nt
Organism: Nothoprocta perdicaria
Lineage: Eukaryota; Metazoa; Chordata; Aves; Tinamiformes; Tinamidae
Exons: 2
Source: RefSeq, a predicted model, not a curated record